RNAcentral lists this ribosomal RNA (557 nucleotides) under uncultured Actinomycetes bacterium. RNAcentral describes it as "bacterial SSU rRNA". It matches the Rfam family "Bacterial small subunit ribosomal RNA", at positions 346 to 916 of the family's 1533-position model. Lineage: Bacteria; Bacillati; Actinomycetota; Actinomycetes. The record is from RNAcentral.
AGGCAGCAGCAGGGAAUAUUGCACAAUGGGCGAAAGCCUGAUGCAGCGACACCGCGUGCGGGAUGAAGGCCUUCGGGUUGUAAGCCGCUUUCAGGAGGGAAGAAAAUGACGGUACCUCCAGAAGAAGGCCCGGCCAACUACGUGCCAGCAGCCGCGGUAAUACGUAGGGGCCAAACGUUGUCCGGAAUUAUUGGGCGUAAAGGGCUCGUAGGCGGUUCAACAAGUCGGUCGUGAAAGCCCGGGGCUCAACCCCGGGAUGCCGGUCGAAACUGUUGUGACUUGAGUUCGGUAGAGGUGAGUGGAAUUCUCAGUGUAGCGGUGGAAUGCGCAGAUAUUGAGAGGAACACCAUUAGCGAAGGCGGCUCACUGGGCCGAUACUGACGCUGAGGAGCGAAAGCGUGGGGAGCAAACAGGAUUAGAUACCCUGGUAGUCCACGCCGUAAACGAUGAACACUAGGUGUAGCGGAUUUAUUCAUGUCUGCUGUGCCGUAGCUAACGCAUUAAGUGUUCCGCCUGGGGAGUACGGCCGCAAGGCUAAAACUCAAAGGAAUUGACGG